ACACCCUAUAUAUGGUGAUAAUACCUGUAUAGAGUGAUUAUCCUUAUAUAGAGGGACAUAUUUGUUUAGAAUGGAUUAAAAGCAGGAAGAUUUUAUUUUCUAGUAUUAUUGGGUAAAAUCUAAGGCAUUUUGAAUCCACUUGAUAGUCCCCACCACAUGAGAGCAGACGACAAUUGCCAGUUCGGAGAGAGUGUAGUGUUAGAUAAACCUGUGAAGACUGGCAAGGGAUCUUUUGCUAAUGUUGGUCUUCUAAAG
This is a long non-coding RNA of Mytilus californianus (California mussel), 255 nucleotides long. RefSeq lists it as uncharacterized. The transcript has 2 exons. NCBI's taxonomy places the organism in Eukaryota, Metazoa, Mollusca, Bivalvia, Mytilida, Mytilidae. The record is from RefSeq and is a predicted model, not a curated record.